RNAcentral lists this ribosomal RNA (466 nucleotides) under uncultured bacterium. Its description in RNAcentral is "partial 16S ribosomal RNA". It matches the Rfam family "Bacterial small subunit ribosomal RNA", at positions 28 to 507 of the family's 1533-position model. The record is from RNAcentral.
GACGAACGCUGGCGGCGCGCCUAACACAUGCAAGUCGAACGAGCGAGAGAGAGCUUGCUUUCUUGAGCGAGUGGCGAACGGGUGAGUAACGCGUGAGGAACCUGCCUCAAAGAGGGGGACAACAGUUGGAAACGACUGCUAAUACCGCAUAAGCCCACGGUGCCGCAUGGCACAGAGGGAAAGUGAGCAAUCCGCUUUGAGAUGGCCUCGCGUCCGAUUAGCUAGUUGGUGAGGUAACGGCCCACCAAGGCGACGAUCGGUAGCCGGACUGAGAGGUUGAACGGCCACAUUGGGACUGAGACACGGCCCAGACCCCUACGGGAGGCAGCAGUGGGGAAUAUUGCAGAAUGGGGGCAACCCUGAUGCAGCGACGCCGCGUGGAGGAAGAAGGUCUUCGGAUUGUAAACUCCUGUUGUUGGGGAAGAUAAUGACGGUAACCAAUAAGGAAGUGACGGCUAACUACGUG